AUAAGCAGAAGUGCACAAGUGAAUAAAGUCAAAUUCUGAAGAGUCUCUAUCCUCAGAAUCACCCACUCCAUGGCUGCAUUAGACAGAAAGAACAGCACAGCAUCUGCAUCCACCAGGCUUAGGUAGUUUUUAAGGAAUCUAUCUACAGUUCCAAAAGCUCUUAUUGUCACCACUCCAAGCGAGGUUUCUGCAGCAUAGUUCAUCACUGGAGCUUUCGUUGUUCCAUUGAUCCUAAUAAGCUCCCUUGCAGAGGCUAAAUAGUACUCCUUUUGUUCAGAGAAGAAGGCAGAAACAAUUGAUAAUGACUUCUUUGCUGCUACAAAUAUAAGUCAAAGGAAGAUACGUACCUGAACAACUUUCGUGGCCGCUAAAGCAAGAAGAGCGAUAAUGAUAACUUGCCAUGUCACAUAUGUCAUGACGAUUAGUGCAGCAGUGAGCUCGACAGCAGGUGAUACCACAAAUAUGAUUGCAAAUGGAAUGUCAAAGUCCAAGACGUUUAAAUCAGAUGAUGCCUGCAAAUGUUACAUGCAAUUAUAUAUCAUACAUUGACUGAGAUGUAGUGUUAUUCAUAUAAGCAAAGAUAUCUUACUCGGGUGAGAAUGCGUCCAACUGGAGUAGAAUCAAAGAAAAGCAUUGGUGCUUUGAAGACUGCAUUUGUGAAACCAGAGAAGAAAGCUUUAGAAGCUUUUAGUCCAAGAUGGGCAGUCGUUACAGCUCUCGCGUAUACAAAACCAGCACUAAGAGUUGAGAUGACGCUAUAGACUCCAAUAAGCAUUGUUGCUGUGAGAUUAGGGAUCCCAAUUCCACAAGCCAGCCAGUAUGUUGAUGCGGCUUGAAAAACUACAAAGCCUACCUGACCCAAUACGCUUGACGACAGAAGAAACCAUCCUCUGGAGACAUUUAAAUAGUCCAAGAAAGGUUUCAAUCCAACAUAGCCCGCCUCUUUUUCCUCUUCCUGCGUAAGUUGUGCCCCUGGAACAUUGGUUGUUGUUGUGAUCUCUUCUUCGAUUUUCUCUACAACCUGGAUGCUUCCUAUCUCUCUGUCUCUGCCCACUUUGGUAAGAUCUCCUAGGCUUUCAUUACUAGCCAAAGGUAACACAGUUACUGCAUCGUUAUGAGCAUUCACCAGCUGUUUGAAUGCCGUUCCCAUCAUUAAGAGCUCAUCAUACUUUCCUAACUGAGUGAUUCUUCCUUCUUCCAUAACCUGAUUAAGAUCAUCAAUCAUUAAUAAGUUUAGACAUAGACAGUCUUUUUUAUCUGAUGCUACUCAAGUUUUACCAGAAUUUGAUCAACUUCUGAGAGGAAUUCAACUUGGUGAGUGACCAGAAUGACAGUUUUCUCCCUCAGCGAGUCCUCAACACAUUUCUGCAAAGUCAUAACUAAACAUAUUAAGAAGCAUUCUUUAAGAAAGUUUCGUCAAAAUCAAUUACAUGAAAAAGAACUCCAGCUGUAUGUGCAUCAACAGCACUAAAAGGAUCAUCAAGGAGGUAAACAUCAGCAUCUGCAUAAACAGCACGUGCCAGCUGAAUCCUUUGCUUUUGCCCUCCGCUCAAGUUAAGCCCUCUUUGUCCUAUCUCUGUGAGGUCACCAUGUCCAAAAUCAUUUAUGUCCUUAUCCAAAGCACAUGCUUUAAUAGCAGCGUUAUAUCGUCUAGUUUCCAUUGGCUUCCCAUAGAGGAUGUUAUCCCUGAUGGUACCACUUUGGAUCCAAGAGGUCUGAGAAACAUAAGCGAUGGACCCAGAGACCUUUACCUGUUUCAGUUGAACAACACAAAGUAAACAUAUAUUAAAUGAACAAAGAGAGGUUCUUGGUGGCUGCUUUGCUUACAGUUCCAGAAACUUUAAGUAUUUCUCCGAGCACUGCAUGCAACAGAGACGAUUUACCUGCACCAACUGGUCCACAAACAGCAACUUUUUGCCCAUUCUUAAUUUCCAAAUUUAUAUUUCGAAGAGUUGGAUGCUUAGUUUCUGGAUCCCAACUGAAGUUUCCUGCUUGUAUAUCAACUGCUGUUCCAGACUUCUCCAUACCACUUCUUUCAAUCUCGUCGGUCUUGAGCUCAUCAUCAAGCAAAAAGUUGUUGAUCCUAUCAAAAGAGACGUUCACUUGGAUGAUAGCAGAAAUCGCCUCAGGUAUAACUCUAACCGGCUCUGACAUAACUCUCAGCGUAGCUAAAACCGUGAAGAUGGUGCUUGCGUUCAGCGGCGCGCUGUUCAUUAAAGCACACCCCACAAAGAUAACAGAAGAAACUAUUGUUGGAGACAUCCAAUACAAGAAAGUACCAAAGGCCUUUGUCAGCUGAGCCUUAGCCAACCAUUUGAACUCCUCAUCACGGCAAGACUCUAUCUGUUUCUUGAACUCCUCUUCCCAUGACUGCAGCUUAAUGACUUUCAUACUGUUCAGAAUCUCCGAAGUGGAUCUUAAUCGUUUAUCCUGCGCGAUCAUGAACUGGGUCUGGCAGUUCUGCAGCAUCUUUGCAAACGGGAGAUUAAGAAGACCGCAGAGGAGAAGAAGAAUCAAACCUGGAACAGCUCCUAUUCCAACUACUCCGAAAAGUACAGCUGUGGAAAGCAAAAGCUGCAGCGUAAGGCUCCAUCCUGAGUGGAACCACCACAAGAACUCUCCCAUUCGGUACGCAUCCACGGCGAUGUAGUUCACAAUCUCUCCAGACGAAUGCCUUUUCCUCCCUAAGCUUGAUAGCUUCAGCUGCUUUUUAUACGCAGCGACCAUCAGCGCUGAUCUAAUCCUCAUCCCUGAUCUUCUUGCUGCAAAGUACCAGUGUCUCAUUGACAAGGACUCAACAAGCUUCAGCAUAACUAGACAAGCUAAGUUGAAGAAACCAGUGCGGAGAUCACGGUGGUCACUGUUUGCGUAAUCCACAAAGACGUAUAGCAUUAGUGGAAGAGAUACUACAGCUAUUGUUCGGAAGAGUGCACAAACUGCUGUGAUUAUGUUCUCCUUGAAGUAGACUUUUGCAACGGCUCUGAACACCAAGUUUCUUUCCUUGGCUCCCUCUGGCUCUGAGAGAAGAGCAUCAUCCCAUGCUUUGGAGAAUUUAGUGUAAGCUAACUCAGCCUCAUCCUCCGGGACAACACUUGGGAUAUCGUCUGGGGUUAAUGGUUUCUUGAAGCCCAACGAGAGUAAAGAGUUCAUCCAAGAGAAGGAUAGAAAGCUGAAAAAUCUAGCUGUUGCUAACCUUGCCGAGUUUUUCUUAGAAUUCUCAGCUAAUAAAGGAUCAGAAAGACCUGCUGUGCUGUAAUCUUGAGCUUCUGGAGAAGAUCUCAAGUUCAUCCAGGAGCAAAGAAGAAGCAAAAGGCUUAUCAGCCAGGUAAUGAUGUCAAACAUUCUGAUGCUUUUCCCCUGAGAAAGUAUCUCAAUCUUUGCUGCUGAAUCCAGCAAAGCAAAAGACACCCACCAAACAGAUGCGAGAAUCUUGAUCCACUUGGAGUCGUUAACAAGCAGUGAAACCGUAAGUGAGACCCAAAUGAGCCCUUCAACAAAGCAAGCAACCCAGGAGACUUCAUCAUUGGCACUAGCAAUCAGAUUCUUCAGUCCAGCACCAAGAUAUAUAAUGCUAGUAGCAGCACAGCAUAUAGCUGCAGCAACAAAGAUCCAGCCUUUUUUGCGGCUCCCAAGAGUAAAACGCUGUGAAACACAACCAGCUACCAAGAGCAAGUAGAAGAAGGAGAGGAACAGUAGAUUAACGAGAUCUAUGGCCGUUCUCUGUAAGCAUUUAGAGCCAAGAUUCAGUUCAACGUCACACCAUGGAAGGUCCUCUGCAUCAUGAAAAGAACCAAUCACAAAGAGACUUUAAAUAAAUCAGCAAAUCACUAACAUUAGUACAGUUUAUUUAAUAGCCAUUUUUUUUGUCUUUAGAGGAACACAAGAAGCCCAAGAUGGUGAAUAACAAAGUUCCCCCACCAUAUAUAGUAUCAUCAAUGAUUGUUCUCAUAUAAGAUUAUUUAAACCAAGAACCUCCCAACACACACAACCCAAGAAUGCAACAAACUUGAAAACUAAGCAAUGAAACAAGUAAGCCGAAGAAAGCAACAGAGUGAGUAAAGAAAAGAGUGAACCAUACCAAUCAAAACCGCCAUUGUAGAAGCAAGCAAGAGAAGAGUAAGAUUACACAAAUGAACAGAAAAAGCUAUCCCUUUUUAUUGAAACGUGAGGUCGGUGUUUGAGUAAAAAGCGAUGUAUCUACCUUUUGUCCACAUCUCCUCAGAUUAGAAUCUUCGUUGAGCAAAAAAUGAUUGACGGCUCUCUCUUCUCUUACUUUUUUUCUCUGUCUUUUUUUUUAUAAUUAGCCGUAGAGGGGACAACCAACCUUUUAUCUUCCAGCCUCUAUGUCUCUCUCGAACUUGCAUAGAGAUGCGUAAUUGAUUACGUAAUAAUAACACGAAGCAUUCGCUAACACGACGAGGAGACGAGAUUCACGGAUCUCUUCCAUUUAUGAAGGAGAGUAUUUUGUUUUAAAAAAAAAAAAAACAUUGUGCAUUUAUUUCUUUUAUCGUAUUUUAAGGGGGUUUUAUUUCUGAAGUUUGUCGUCGAAGUGAAAGACAGAAGCUGUCUGAACGUUUGUUUCUAGAGGUGUCGCUGUCUUCCAUUGCAACCUCCUCGAGCCCUGUGAGCUUUCCGGCCAACUUUUUUUGAUAUUUAAAAUGAGAAGGAAGUAAGUUAGAGCCACCUAAACUGAAUAUCUGAAAGGAAGGAAGUGCUAACGCCGAAAAUAAAAUCCGACAUCGACAGAUUGGGCCAAUAAUGGGCUCCGAUUCAAAUUGGAAUUUAUAUUGCAAAUUAAUAAUUACUAGGAUAAGAUCCGCGCCUUGGAUUAAGUUAUUAUUUUUAUUAUAUUUUGGAGAAUGAAACAAUAGUUUGGCUUCAUUUGGAUUAGGGGUGUUCAAUCCAGAUAUCGGGUUGGUUUCGAUUCGGUUCGGUUUUUUUCGGUAUUUUGGUUAGUAAAAUAUAACUACUAUUCUAAAUCCAUAUUUACUUUGACUUUAGUCUUUCACAUACUUUUGAAAGAUUUCAACUCGACAACUAAAUUGAUCAGCCAAUCUUGUUGCUUUAAAUCAUUAGUAUAUAUAUAUAUAUAUUAUUUAGUUUGAAUAUUUAUUAAAUAAAAAUUCAUAUGCGUUAUAUUUUAUGAUCAUUUGUAACUUAUUAUAACAAAAAAAAUAAUCUAUUGAUCACGGUCUUUUAGACCAAUCUUACUUAUGUCAAUGCCAUCAAUCAAUAUACAACCACUUGCUGGUUCUACCAACCGGAACAAAGCACUGAUCAACGUGCUUUUCCCACUUCCCGUUCUCCCCACAACUCCCACUCUUGUCCCUUCCCUGAAUGUGCAAGAGAUUCCUUUGAGAACCAAGGGAGCAUUGGGCCGGUAUCUUAUCUUCAAAAGAAAAAGAAGCAAAGCAAUAUGUCUUUAACAUAACUGGAACCAUCAUCUUAUAACAAGUAAUGUUUCUAUAUACCUUAAGUUCCUGCAAGUGAAUGGUACCACUGGAUGGCCAUGAGGAAGGUGGCCUUUUAUCAUCAACAACAGCAGGAGGCUCUGCUGGUAUGCUCAUAUACUGUUUUAUCCUCUCUACCGAAAUGAUUGAAUUUGAUAAGGUACAAUACCAUCUGGUUAGAAACACCUGAGUUUGUGUCAGUGUUAGUGCAUAGGAUAGUGAAAGCCCAACAAGACCUGAAACAGAAAGACACAAAGUUCAUGAAGCACCUUUCAGUGUGAUACUAACAUUAGCUAUGAGGUGAUGAGACAAAUAGUUAAUGUACCUGGAGCUAUGUAGCCCUUGGGAAUAAGGAUAAGCAGAAGUGCACAAGUGAAUAAAGUCAAAUUCUGAAGAGUCUCUAUCCUCAGAAUCACCCACUCCAUGGCUGCAUUAGACAGAAAGAACAGCACAGCAUCUGCAUCCACCAGGCUUAGGUAGUUUUUAAGGAAUCUAUCUACAGUUCCAAAAGCUCUUAUUGUCACCACUCCAAGCGAGGUUUCUGCAGCAUAGUUCAUCACUGGAGCUUUCGUUGUUCCAUUGAUCCUAAUAAGCUCCCUUGCAGAGGCUAAAUAG
Molecule: long non-coding RNA, 6065 nt
Filed under: Brassica napus (rape)
Lineage: Eukaryota; Viridiplantae; Streptophyta; Magnoliopsida; Brassicales; Brassicaceae
Description: long non-coding RNA (BNAP_LNC015522)
Source: RNAcentral